RNAcentral lists this ribosomal RNA (460 nucleotides) under uncultured bacterium. RNAcentral describes it as "partial 16S ribosomal RNA". It matches the Rfam family "Bacterial small subunit ribosomal RNA", at positions 338 to 795 of the family's 1533-position model. The record is from RNAcentral.
CCUACGGGGGGCAGCAGUGAGGAAUAUUGGUCAAUGGACGAGAGUCUGAACCAGCCAAGCAGCGUGAAGGAUGACUGCUCUAUGGGUUGUAAACUUCUUUUAUAUGGGAAUAAAACGUUCCACGUGUGGGAUGUUGUAUGUACCAUAUGAAUAAGGAUCGGCUAACUCCGUGCCAGCAGCCGCGGUAAUACGGAGGAUCCGAGCGUUAUCCGGAUUUAUUGGGUUUAAAGGGAGCGUAGGUGGAUUGUUAAGUCAGUGGUGAAAUUUUGCGGCUCAACCGUGAAAUUGCAUUUGAAACUGGCAGUCUUGAGUACAGUAGAGGUAGGCGGAAUUCGUGGUGUAGCGGUGAAAUGCUUAGAUAUCACGAAGAACUCCGAUUGCGAAGGCAGUUCACUGGACUGCAACUGACACUGAGGCUCGAAAGUGUGGGUAGCAAACAGGAUUAGAUACCCCGGUAGUC